Molecule: ribosomal RNA, 429 nt
Filed under: Bacteroidota bacterium
Lineage: Bacteria; Pseudomonadati; Bacteroidota
Description: Bacteroidetes bacterium partial 16S ribosomal RNA
Rfam family: Bacterial small subunit ribosomal RNA
Source: RNAcentral
UAGGGAAUCUUCGGCAAUGGGGGGAACCCUGACCGAGCAACGCCGCGUGAGUGAAGAAGGUUUUCGGAUCGUAAAGCUCUGUUGUUAAGGAAGAACGAGUGUGAGAAUGGAAAGUUCAUACUGUGACGGUACUUAACCAGAAAGGGACGGCUAACUACGUGCCAGCAGCCGCGGUAAUACAUAGGUCCCGAGCGUUGUCCGGAUUUAUUGGGCGUAAAGCGAGCGCAGGCGGUUAGAUAAGUCUGAAGUUAAAGGCAGUGGCUCAACCAUUGUAGGCUUUGGAAACUGUUUAACUUGAGUGCAGAAGGGGAGAGUGGAAUUCCAUGUGUAGCGGUGAAAUGCGUAGAUAUAUGGAGGAACACCAGUGGCGAAGGCGACUCUCUGGUCUGUAACUGACGCUGAGGCUCGAAAGCGUGGGUAGCAAACAGG